ACUGUUUACCAAAAACAUAGCCCUCGGCUAAUAUGAAAAUAGAUGUAUAGAGGGUGAUGCCUGCCCAAUGGUUGUAUCUAAAAGCGGUUGAUAAAAGUCGACCUCGUAAGGACAAUUGAAUGGCCGCGGUAACACUGACCGUGAUAAUGUAGCGUAAUCAAUAGCCAAUUAAUUGUUGGCCAGUAUGAAUGGCGCCACGAAGGCCCCACUGUCUUAAGGAAAUUCCCAGUGAAAUUGAAUUCGUAGUGAAGAUGCUACGUCCAAUUUGUUAGACGAAAAGACCCCGUUGAGCUUUACUGGAGCACUUACAUGGCCCCGGCCUUCCCAUGCCUGGGAAUCGGCCGAAUUUAAAUGGGCGGCUUAGAUUAUGUGGCAGCCCCCCGCUGGGGCAAAUGAAACACCACUCCCCCAUGUCAAAGGGGCUAACCCCCCCCCCUUGGGGGGGAC
This 447-nucleotide ribosomal RNA is filed under the name Zoanthus gigantus. Its description in RNAcentral is "partial 16S ribosomal RNA". It matches the Rfam family "Bacterial large subunit ribosomal RNA", at positions 1799 to 2252 of the family's 2925-position model. Lineage: Eukaryota; Metazoa; Cnidaria; Anthozoa; Zoantharia; Zoanthidae. The record is from RNAcentral.